AACGUAGGGGACAAGCGUUAUCCGGAUUUACUGGGCGUAAAGCGCCCGUAGGCGGCUUUUUAAGGUGGACGUGAAAGCUCCCGGCUUAACUGGGAGAGGCCGUUCAAAACUGAGAGGCUAGAGUGAGGCAGAGGAGCGCGGAAUUCCCGGUGUAGUGGUGGAAUGCGUAGAUAUCGGGAGGAACACCAGUGGCGAAAGCGGCGCUCUGGGCCUAAACUGACGCUGAGGGGCGAAAGCGUGGGGAGCGAACAGG
RNAcentral lists this ribosomal RNA (253 nucleotides) under uncultured bacterium. RNAcentral's name for it is "partial 16S ribosomal RNA". It matches the Rfam family "Bacterial small subunit ribosomal RNA", at positions 524 to 776 of the family's 1533-position model. The record is from RNAcentral.